GUUCGGUGAACGGUCGGGUGAGAGGGAAUCCGGUGUGAAUCCGGAGCUGUCCCGCAGCGGUAUGCCGGAACGACCGCCGUCAACGAGCACUGGACCUGCGGGUCCGGGAAGCGACGGCCAGUAGGAGCCACGUCCAUCGACGUCGCACGCCGGUGAGCCCGAAGACCUGC
This 170-nucleotide non-coding RNA is filed under the name Gordonia bronchialis. The record is from RNAcentral. Lineage: Bacteria; Bacillati; Actinomycetota; Actinomycetes; Mycobacteriales; Gordoniaceae.